This 22-nucleotide non-coding RNA is filed under the name Arabidopsis thaliana (thale cress). The record is from RNAcentral. Lineage: Eukaryota; Viridiplantae; Streptophyta; Magnoliopsida; Brassicales; Brassicaceae.
CUUGCCAUGUUUAUAGAGACUG